Molecule: long non-coding RNA, 1697 nt
Organism: Lepus europaeus (European hare)
Lineage: Eukaryota; Metazoa; Chordata; Mammalia; Lagomorpha; Leporidae
Exons: 3
Source: RefSeq, a predicted model, not a curated record
CCCGCCGCGGCCUGGGCGGCAGGGAAUCCGCAGGUGUUCCCGGUCAUCCGCCCCAGCUGGCUGUCAAUCAACCGGCCAAGGAGAAAGGCUUUUGUGUUUUAAGUGGCUGUUCAGGGAACGCGAGCCUGCUGCGGAGCUAGGUGUUGUCUGUGGUUUUUUAGGGAUGGAACAAGAGGCUGAGGGAUUCUUCAAGCUGGUGUCUCAAAUCAGCACGAAAGCAUUGUCAUUUUUGCACAUGGAACUGCCUCACUGGCCCUAUUUGACUGGUCCAGGAAUGUCAAACUGGCUCAACGUAAGCCAUUUAACUCCAGUGACAGUUGAUUGAUCCAUAAUGUGACACAGGUUGGAUUUCUUUCUCUUCCUACUCCUGAGGGUUCAUAUUGGGUGACCUGAAUUUGAAGUCUCUUCACAUUUAUAUCAUAGUCAUUUUUGCACCAGAUCCUGGUGCCAUCAACACACAACCAGCCGUUUCAACACCUUCCCUCUCCCAUAAUUAUACAGCAGAAAAAAAAUGAAAUCCGGUCAUUUGCAACAAAAUGGAGGAAUCUGGAAAACAUCAUGCUGAGUGAAAUAAACCAGUACCAAAGGGAUAAAUAUCAUAUGUUCUCCCUGACUAGUGACAACUAAUCAAGCAACAAAAAGGAAACCUGUUGAAGUGAAUUGGACCCUAUGAGAAACAGUGACAUGAACAACCCUUGUCCUGACUGUCGAGGAAUAACUUAAUACUUUAUCCCUUUUAGUAAUUUUCUGUUCUACUUAAUACUAUUGGUUGAACACUUUAAUUAACACACAAUUAUUCUUAGGUGUCUAAAUUUAACUGAAAAGUGAUCACUGUUAAAUGUAAGAAUGGGAAUAAGAGAGGGAGGAGAUGUAUAGUUUGGCACAUGCUCAAUCAGAAUAUCCCCAAAUGGUAGAGUUAGAAACGUACCAAGGGAUUCCAGUUCAGUCCCAUCAAGGUGGCAUGUACCAAUGCCAUCUCACUAGUCCAAGUGAUCAAUUUCAGUUCAUAAUUGAUCAUAAUGAUAGGAUUAAGAGUCAAAGGGAUCACAUAAACAAGACUAGUGUCUGCUAAUACUAACUGAUAGAAUUAAAAAGGAGAGAAUGAUCCAACAUGGGAAGCAGGAUACACAGCAGACUCAUAGAAUGGCAGUUGUCCUAAACAGCACUCUGGCCUCAGAAUCAGCCCUUAAGGCAUUUGGAUCUGGCUAAAAAGCUCAUGAGUGUAUUUCAGGCAUGGAAAGCCAAGGCACUCUGCCAAAAAAAAAAAAAAUGACCUAAAUGAAAGAUCUCUGUGAGUGAGAUCCCAGUGGAAAGAAUGGGACAUCAAAGAAGGAGGUACCUUUCUCUGAAGGGAGGAGAGAACUUCCACUUUGACUAUGACCUUGUCUAAAUGUGAUCAGAGUUGGCGAACUCAAAAGGCUUCCAUAGCCUUGGCAACUCAUGGCAAGAGCCUCAGGUGAUUAUUGAUGCCAUAAACAAGAGUGUCAAUUGUUAAAUCAACAACAGGAGUCACUGUGCACUUACUCCCCAUGUAGGAUCUCUGUCCUUAAUGUGUUGUACUAUGUGAAUUAAUGGUAUGACUAGUACUCAAACAGUACUUUAUACUUUGUGUUGUGAGUGAAAACUGUUGAAAUCUUUCUUAAUAUAUAUUAAAUUGAUCUUCUGUAUAUAAAGGUAAUUGAAAAUGAAUCGAUGUG